CAGAUACACGUGUAGAAACAUACACACACGUAAUGUACACAUAUGUAUAGUGCACAUAUGCACGCACUUGUACACACAUUUAGGCAUACACAUGCAUAUGUAGAUGCAUGUGUACAUGCAUGUAUACAUCUACACAUGCACAGACACACAUACAUGUACACAUGCAUACUGUGUACAUAAUACAUGUAUACAGAUACAUGUGCGCAUGCACGUGUACACACAUGCAUGCAUACACACAUGCAUUUGUAGAUAUAUGUGUAGGUGUGUACACACAACAUACACAUAUGCAUCCACACAUACACAUAUACAUAUGAGGUGGCACGUUCAGCUUUCAAGAGGACCAUCAGGGACUUUGUCACCUUGACAACUUUAGCCUUGCCUUCUAGUCACCUUGCCGGAACACUUGUGCCCGUGUUUUUCUAGCACUGUCAUAAGAAUACUUUUACCUAUCAAGGCAACUGGGGGUUAGGAGAGCUUUUUGCACAGGAGGCUACUUGGCUUUGUUUGAAAACUGAUGAUACAUGAGGAUUGGGGUGGUGAAUCACUCACAUGUUUCUUCAUAUGAAAAAUGAGGACUGUGGGAUUCUCUGGCUGGAUCUCAGCACCUAGAAAUGGAUCUGGGCAAUAGGAACUGCUCAGUAUUAGCUACCGCUUUGGUUGCCUUCUCCUUGCGGAAAGCUGGCCUCUCACACUGAAUUUGUAUCAUAGGCACUCAUGAGGGUCUUGACUGUAUCAAUAUCUGAUGAGAGAUUUUAGUGCAGUUCUGUUAUCGUGGCUGAUUUGCUCAUUUGGUAGCUAGCAUCCAGCUUCUUGUGAACAUUAAAAUAAAAUAAAAUAGAUUAUGGAGGAAUAGAAUACAGAUACGUAGUAAGGUAUUAUUUUCCAGACAAAAUGGAUUUGGAUAAAAGAAUCUAAUUAAGAACUUGUGCAUGAUUCUUUUAAAAUUCUUUUGAAUCCAUUUUUUUUUUUUUGGCCUGUUUUCAAGUCUCCGAUUUUUGUCACCCUUCUCACACCAGGUCAGAGAGAUAGCUAAUGGUCAGAAGGAAUCUUCCAGCAAUGACCAUAGCGCUUUCUCCUGCCUGCAGAUGCCUCUUUUUAUUCAGCCUUUAUGGGAAGUAGCAGCACCAUCCAGUUCUCAGAGAGCAAGCUCUGGAGUAACUGAGCUAACCCCAGUUACCCCAGUGGAUUUACAGAUUGAGGUUACAACCCAGCAGGGUUCUCUUCCUGGAAAGAAUAGCCUUCCCUCUAAGGUUUCAAAUAGACCCUGGGUGAGGAAGGAGCCCUAAACAGCUUGAAAAAUUGAAUGCUCUUUGGGCAAAGCAGGAAGCCGUCCUAUGGAAGAGCAUCAUUUGAGCAUAAAUCAGGUUAUCAGGACAAACAGAGUGUUCAGGAGGUCAAGAUGGUUAAGCAGAGACCCUGACCAGAAUGUCCGUGGCGGAGAGAAACAAUCUUGUUGGGAAAAGGAUGACAAUAAUUGGGGACUUAGAAUAAAGGCUAAAAAUGAUUCAAAGAGAAUGCAAAAAGAAUCAGGCACAAAUCGUUUACUAUACUCUGUUAUGCAAAUCUCACCUUACUAUGUGUUUGUAUUCUAUUCCUCCACAAUCUUUAUUUUAUUUUAAUGUUCAAAGAGACUUGUAGGUGCCAAUUAAAUGAACAAAACAGCCAGAGACAACAGAACUGCCCUAAAAAAAGUCCCGCAUCAGCUCUUGAGAGCAGGUUCCUUAAAGGUGAACAAUAUUCCACAUACAAGGACUUUUUCAGCACCAUGCAUUAGAAAUGGAAGUGAAUGUUUAUUAUUUUUUGUAUAAGUUGGUUGAUAUGGCUUUUCAGCUUCCCUCAGUAUCAUUAUCCAAAUUUUGUAGAUGACACUAAAGCUCAGAGGAGUUAAACCAUUUUCCUUAAAUCACAUAGCUUUAAAUAGGAAAACCAGAUAUGAAAAGCAGAUUUUUUUUCUAAAUUAAAAAACCAAAAACAAAAACACGUGAGCUCUUGCUUUACCCUAGCACAUAGUCUUGCCAUCUGUUUUCUCCACACCAGGUGAUUCCUGUAACAUUCAUUCACAUAACAAAUACAAAUAAAUGAGUGGAUUCAUUCAUCAGAUAUUAAUUCAGAAUCCCUUUUGUGCCUUCCAGAAAUCUGGACCAUCUCACAACCCCCAGAGAGUCUCAGCUACAAGGAACAAGUGAUAAUGCCAUCCCACUUUUAUAAACACACACACACACACAUGCAAUACACACACAAUCAUUUAAUCAUUUUUAAUUAUUUAAUUAUUUUUUAAAAAUCAGUGACACUUUAGCUGGGCAGGUCUAGAUAGGUCUUCUUUGCUGGGACGUGUCUUUUUCUGUCCUGGAAUACCCUAAACUUCACAUUUUGGCAGCGUGAGUUUUCCCUUUGUGACUUUCUCCUUCUUCCCUUUUUUCCUCCUUCUUUGCAGAGAAUGAGUAGCCACUGCACCUUGCCCUGCGCCAUCAAUGAGAAGAUCUGCUCUUAGUAGAGCCCUGCUUUCCCGCUGAAGGCCCUGAAAUCACCUGUGUUCCAGGCCACCCACUAAGGAUAAACAAAGCUUCCCUGAUAUGGGGAAUUAGCUCAAGUGGUAGAGCGCUUGCUUAGCAUGCAAGAGGUAGUGGGAUCAAUGCCCACAUUCUCCAAGCUUUAUUAUUUAGGUACCCAAACCCGAGUCAGUGUCUGAGAGCAAGACACUGCUCUCGGUGUCUUUGGUUCAAGACAUAGGAGCAGCAACAAUACAGGACUGGUGACAGCUUCCUGCUGGCAUUCAGUAUAGUGUAGAUCUACUGUGUAAUUAAUUUUCUGUUUCUUCGAGGAGCUGUGAAACCAAAGGACAUAUAAAACUGCUCUUUUCUCCCUGUUUCUGCCUGCAGCUUGGUCCUAAAUGUGAGACAAUUGUGAAAAGUGGAGGACAGAGCCACCUGGUUAAAUACAGCCCCAGCUUUCUGGUGAGAGGACUGAAACCAAGAUGUGUCAAGUAACUAGAAUGUGCCUGGACAGAUACUGUAGAAAGCAAAACCAUAAAGUUGUUCAUGAGCUUGUGGACGCACCUGCCAGCUGUGAAUAAGUGGCUCUAAUCCCGAACAACUUACCUAAAAAGAGCCUGAGAGCUGAACUGUGCAAUGGCCCACUUUCCAGUCCUCACUGACCACUGGGUUGCACACACUUUGGAGAUCUCUGAACAGCAGUGUCAAGGCUUUCAAAUAGAGUUAUCUUUGAAACGACAACACAUGAAAGUCUGGUUGGUACUUGGAGCUUAAAUACAAGGCAAUUGUGUGCCUGCAAAAACAAAAAUAGCAAUAUUAUCCUUAAGAUUUCAACAAGACACAGUGUCUCAUCACAUAAUCCAAAGAAGUCCAGGUUACAAGCCCCACAAUAUUCAGCAUUAUGAAAAAACAGGGAGAUCUUAAUUCACAUGGCAAAGAGAAUCCUCGAAUAACAAUAUUGAGAGGACACAGAUGUCAAAAUCAUCUGACACAUACAUUAAAGCAGAUAUUAUAACAAUGCUCCUAGAAUCGGGGAUAACAUUCGUGAAGUGAAUGGAAAGUUGGAAAGUCUCACCAAAUAUUUCGAAUACAUAAACACCAAUUUAAACUUAAGAAUUAAAAAAAUGUAUUAACCAAAACUCUUAGGGGAAAUAAAAAGCUUAAUUGGAGGAUCUCCAUAAUCGAAUGCAGAAGACUAAGGAAAAAGUCAAUGAACUUGAAAACAGAACACGAAUACCUACAUAAUCUGAACUAUAGAGAGAAAGGAGGAUUUUAUUGUCUCUGAACAGAGGCUCAGGCACAAAUAAAAAAUAACAAAUCCAACAUUCACAUUAUUGUAAUCUGGAAAGAAGAGGACAAAGUGGUCUUUGUGGGAUAAAACUUUGAACAAUUAAUAGCUGAAAAUGGUUCAAAUUUGUCAAAAGAUAUAAACCAGAUUUUUAAAGUUCAGUAAAUGUCAAUCAGGAUAAACCCAAAGAAACCCAUAGCAAGGCAUAUCAUAAUCAAACUGCUGAAAACUAAGAAAAUACAAAACAAUUUUGAAAGCAGCCAAAGGGAAAUGAAAGAGAAACUACCAAAUGAAUGAUUGUAGAUUUCGCAUCAGGAACCAUAGGGGCCAGAAAAAAUGUCAUAACAUUCGGUAAGUAACAAAAGAAAAAGACAUAUCGACCCAGAAUGCUAUGUGGAGCAAAAGUAUCUUCCAGACAUAAAGGCAAAUAAAUGCAUUCUCAGUGGAAGGUAAGUAAAUACAUUCUCAUUCUUAGGAAGACUGCUGGAAAAGAAUUAGCAAAGAUUUGAGAUAAGAAAAAUGAUACCAGAAGGAAACUUAGAACAUCAUCAGUGAAGGAACAAAAGCAGAAAUAGAACAUGUCUGGGUAGACAUAACAGACUAUUAUUCUUCCCUUGAGUUCCUUAAGGAGACUACGGAAAAGAAGAGUGACUAAGAUCUCUGAAGAAGGGAAAAGCUAGAUGACUGGGCCACAAGAGGAAAAAAAGCAGCAAGACAGGCUCAAGACUUCCCAGUGUCUUUGUCUCCUCUCCCUCAAAUCUCUCCACCCAAUGUCUUGACAAAUACUGUAGAUCCUUCCUGCACAGCAUCACCAGAAUGUUUUUCUUUCUUUUCAUUCACCUCUGUCAUCAUCCAUGCUAUGGUGUUUAUGGAGGAUGUAUUCUGCAGCAGGAAGUGUGAUGGGCACUGACGCUGCAGAAAGACUCCUGUUGUCCACCUCGGGAGCUGACACGAUAAAUGCGGGUAAAUCUCAAUCCUUUAAUAUCUUUAUGACUUCUUUCUCUUUCUCUUCAAUUUCUAUUUUCUCAUGUUCAAGCUCUGACAUUCAAAACUAAACACCUUUCUCUAACAUGUUGCUUUAAUUAUUUAAGCAUUCUGCCUGGGAUUUUUUCAAUUACUCUUGGGAGUUUUCAUAAAACUCUACCAACAUAUCUCCAAGUGGCCAGGCUUUUCAAUCACUGCUUCCCUCCGUGUGUAUUUCACACACACACACACACACACACACACACACAGCACUUAAAUUGAACAGGUUUAUUUCUUCACACAGGAAUUCCUACGAACAGCCCGGUUUUCUCCACCAUAUGUCCACUCCUUCUCUGCAUAGCUGAAUUUUGAUUCUUACACUCUAAUAUUUUACAUAUUCUUACACUCUGAUAUGAUCUUGUCUCUUAUUCUUUAUGGCUCUGCUCUGUAAUUUUGUUGUUGUUGUUCUGAGAUAUAGUUGGACAUGUAACUUGUACAUGACACACCUUAGCAAGGAGGCAACCUAUAUCUCAGAUGCAAGUGAAAGAAGCACUCCCCAGGGGUUUCCUAAGGUAGUGGUCAGCACGCUGGCUUCAUUCCUGAAAGGGCCUAGUUAUGAAAACAACAGGAGCUUUUUGCCUUCCAGAAAUCUGUACCAUCUCAAAAUCCCCAGAGAGUCUCAGCUACAAGGAACAAGUGAUAAUACUAUCUCACUUUUAUAAACACACACACACAACACACACACACAAAAUCAUUUAAUCAUUUUUAAUUAUUUAAUCAUUUUUUAAAAAUCAGUGACACUUUAGAUGGGCAGGUCUAGGCAGGGCCUCCUUUCCUGGAAUGUGCCUUUUUCUGUCCCGGAAUACCCUAAACUUGACAUUUUGGCAGUGUGAGUUUUCCCUUUUUGACUUUCUCCUUGUUCCCUUUCCUCUUCCUUCUUUGCAGAGAAUGAGUAGCCACUGCACCUUGCCCUGGGCCAUCAGUGAGAAGAUCUGCUCUUAGUAGAGCCCUGCUUUCCCGCUGAAGGCCCUGAAAUCCCCUGUGUUCCAGGCCACCCACUAAGGAUCAAUAAAGCUCCCCUGAUGUGGGGGAAUUAGCUCAAGUGGUAGAGCGCUUGCUUAGCAUGCAAGAGGUAGUGGGAUCGAUGCCCACAUUCUCCAAACUUUAUUAUUUAGACCCUGGGUCUCCAAACACUCAGGUCUCCAAACCCAAGUCAGAGAACAGGAUGCUGCUUUGGUUCAAGAUGUAGGAGCAGCAACAAUACAGGGCUGGUGACGGCUCCCUCCUGGCAUUCAGUAUAGUGUAGAUCUACCGUGUAAUUAAUUUUCUGCUUCUUUGAGGAGCUGUGAAACCAAGGGACAUAAACAAUUGCUCUUUUCUCCCUGUUUCUGCCUGUAGCUUGAAUGUGAGGCAACUGUGAAAAGUGCAGGGCAGAGCCACCUGGGUAAAUACAGCCCUGGCUUUCUGGUGAGAGGACUGAAACCAGGAUGUGUCAAGUAACUAGAAUGUGCCUGGACAGAUACUGUAGAAAGCAAACCCAUAAAGUUGUUCAUGAGCUUGUGGACGCACCUGCCAGCUGUGAAUAAGUGGGUCUAAUCCCAAACAACUUACCUAAAAAGAGCCUGAGGACUGAACUAAACAAUGGUCCACUUUCCAGUCCUCACUGACCACUGGUUGCACACACUCCAGAGAUCUCUCAUCCGCAGUGUCAAGGCUUUCAAAUAGAGUUAUCUGUGAAACAACAACACAUGGAAGUCUGGUUGGUACUUGGAGCUUAAAUACAAGGCAAUUGUGUGCCUGCAAAAACAAAAAGAGCAAUAUUAUCCUUAAGAUUUCAACAAGACACAGUGUCUCAUCACAUAAUCCAAAGAAGUCCAGGUUACAAGCCCCAAAAUAUUCAGCAUUAUGAAAAACCAGGGAGAUCUUAAUUCACAUGGCAAAGAGAAUCCUUGCAUAACAAUAUUGAGAGGACACAUAUGUCAAAAUCAUCUGACACAUACAUUAAAGCAGUUAUUAUAACAAUGCUCCUAGAAUUACGGGAUAGCAUUCAUGAAGUGAAUGGAAAGUUGGAAAGUCUCACCAAAUAUUUGGAAUAUGUAAACACCAAUUUAAACUUAAGAAUUAAAAAAAGUAUUAACCAAAACUAUUAGGGGAAAUAAAAAGCUUAAUUGGAUGAUCUCAAUAGCAGUAUGCAGAAGACUAAGGAAAAAGUCAAUGAACUUGAAAACGGAACAAGAAUACCUACAGAAUCUGACCUAUAGAAAGAAAGGAGGAUUUUAUUGUCCCUGAACAGAGGCUCAGGGACAAAUAAAAAAUAACAAAUCUAACAUUCACAUUAUUGUAAUCUGGAAACAUUCACAUUAUUGUAAGAGGACAAAGAGGUCUUUGUGGGAUAAAACUGUGAAGAAUUAAUGGCUGAAAAUGUAUCAAAUUUCUCAAAAGAUAUAAACCAGAUUUUUAAAGUUCAGUAAAUGUCAAGCAGGAUAAACCAAAAGAAACCCAUUGCAAGACAUAUCAUAAUCAAACUGCGGAAAAUUAAGAAAACACAAAACAAUUUUGAAAGCAGCCAAAGGGAAAUGAAAGAUAAAAUACCAAAUGAAUGAUUGUAGAUUUCUCAUCGGGAACCCAGGAGCCAGAAAAAAAUGUCAUAACAUUCAGUAAAUACCAAAGGAAAAAUACAUUAUCAACCCAGAAUGGUAUGUGGAGCAAAAGUAUCUUCCAGACAUAAAGGCAAAUAAAUGCAUUCUCAUUGGAAGGUAAAUAAAUACAUUCUCAGUCCUAGCAAAACUGCUGGAAAAGAAUUAGCAAAGGUUUGAGAUAAGAAAAGUGAUACCAGAAGGAAACUUAGAACAUCAUCAAUGAAGGAACAAAAGCAGAAAUAGAAAAUGUCUGGGUAGACAUAACAGACUAUUAUUCUUCUCUUGAGUUCCUUAAGGUAUGUUUGAUGGUUGAAAGCAAAAAUUGUAACUUUAUCUGAUGCAGUUGUCAUUGUAUCUAGAUGUACUACAUACAUAAGAUAAAAGGGUAAAUGUAAUGGGACUAACUCUUGAUGAAGUUUCUAUAUUCAACUUGAAUGGUAAAAUAUUGAUUCUUAGUAUACUGUGAAAAGUUAUAUAUGUAUAUGGUAAUCCCUAGACCACUUAACAACCAGAUUGAAAUAAACCAAAACAAGAUAGACAGAGGAACAUAGAAGAAUUAAAACAAAGGGAAAAAAGGUUAAUAAAUUAUUAAAUAGUAGAUCUAUCUAAAAACUUAUCUAUAAUAACAUUAUAUGUAAAUUAUCUAAAUGCAUUAAGUAAAAACUAGAGAUCAUCAGAAUGUGUUAAAAAUAAAUAUGCUGACUAAAGAAAGCCACCUGCAAUACACUUAUAAAUAAGAAUAAAAGUUAUAGAGCAGAUUGAAAGAAAAGAGUGGGAAAAGAUACCUCAUGCAAGCAUUAAUCAAAGACAGCUGUGGUGUAUAUAUAUAAAAUCAGACAAAGUAGAUUUGAAAGCAGAGAAACUUUUCAGGAAUAAUGAGGCCUCCUAAAUAAUUAUGAUUGUCAAUUUUUCAGGAGAAUAUUGUCCCAAAUGUAUAUGAGGACACAGAGCUUCAAAACUCAUAAACAAAAUUGGAUACGCCAAGUAAAAAUAGAAAAAUCCAGUUAUAGUUGCAGUCAUUAACACUCCUCUCUGAGUAAUUGGAAGAUUUAGUGGAACACAAAUCAACAGACAUACUGGAGAAUUGAACCAUGCCAUCCAGUAAUGGACCUAUCAAUUUCAUAAUGCAAAAUAAAAAUUCAGGUAGAAAGCAAAGACAAAAAUUAAAAGAAAAGCAAGAUCAUGUUAUAAUGAGAAAAUUAAGAGUAGUCCAGUGUAUAGAAGGGUGCUAUUAUUGAAAGAGUUUGAAAUAGUGACUUAGUUAUUUUGAAACAUUUUUGAAGACGUUAUUUAGCUGGAAAUGACAGAAAGACUGAAAAUGGUGAAUGUGGAGGUGGAUCUUCCCUUGUCCAUAUUUAUCUUGUCUUCGUUUGAGGUCUGGGGUGUCUAUACUUCCUCUGAAUUACCUGAUCUUACUACAGUGUCUGGCACAGAGCAUCUCCCCAGUGAAUAUGUACUAAAUGAGUAGAAAGUAAUUGAUAGAUUCAAAAGAGUUGUGCAAGAAUAAUGUUCAUUAUUUGACUAAUCACUGAAUGUGGUGUUUCAAGGAAGACAAUGAAUCAAAGUUGACUUGAAAGGUAAGCCCAGGGCCAGACGUGGUGGCUCAUUUCUGUAAUCCCAGCACUUUGGGAGGCCGAGAUCAGUGGAUCCCUUGACACCAGGAGUUUGAGACCAGCCUAGGCAACACAGUGAAAACCUGUCUCUACAACAAAUACAAAAAUUAGCCGGGUGUGGUGGUAUGCAUCUGUAGUUCCAGCUACUCAGGAGGCUGAGGUGGGAGGAUCGCUUGAACUCAGGAGGUGGAGGUUGCAGUGAACAGAGAACGCACCGGUACCUGGACAACAAAGUGAGACCCUGUCAUAAAAUAAAAUAGUUAAACCCAGGCCAGGAGGGGUGGCUCAUGCCUGUAAUCCCAGCACUUUGGAAGGCCAAGGUAGGCUGAUCACGUGACGUCAGGAGGUUGAGACCAGCCUGGCCAACAUGGUGAAACCCCGUCUCUACUAAAAAUACAAAAAUUAACCAAGCGUGGUGGCAGGCACCUGUAGUCCCAGCUACUCUGGAGGCUGAGACAGGAGAAUUACUAGAACCCGGGAGGCAGAGGUUGCAGUGAGCCAAGAUCUUACCAUUGCACUGCAGCCUGGGCGACAGAGUGACACUCUGUCGAAAAAAAAAAAAAAAAAAAAGUUAAGCCCAAAAAGUAAGUAAGGAAGAGGUUUGGAAUUAGAUAUUUGUUGUAUGAAUGAGUGAGCUAAAGUGCAAAAGAACGGGCAGAAUAACUGAGCUGGUACAGAGGGAAAAAAUCACAUUUAAAAUCUAAAAAUAUCUGCUUCUUAGUUCAGGCUUUCCCACUUAGCAGCUUUGGCACCUUAGGAACACUUAACUUAUCUGAGCCUCUAUUACUUCUAAAAAGUGCAUAAAGUGCAGACUAAGACAGUUUUUUUGGCAAAAUUCAGUCAGACUACAUCAAGUAAACUCCCUAAGUCUCCUAGUAUAAUUCAUGGCACAAAAAAUUGGGGAAAAAACAGGGAGGAUAUGAUUAUAAGUUCAGUUUAUGUUUUUUGUUGAGUGAAUGUCUCCAGUCAUAGAGAUGCAAGUGUAGAUACACAGUAAGAGUAGUAUGAAUGGGAGACACCUUGGAAGGCUAUUUCUUCCUUCCUUCAUUCAGUUGGUCACUCAGUGAACUAUCAUGAAUUGAGCACCGCCUCUGUUUCUUAUCAACAAAGGAGACUGCGGAAAAGAAGAGUGACUAAGAUCUCUGAAGAAGGGAAAAGCUAGAUGACUGGGCCACAAGAGGAAAAAAAGCAGCAAGACAGUUACAAUUGUUUCUGGUCCCACUUUUAUAAACACACACACACACACACACACACACACACACACACACAAAAUCAUUUAAUCAUUUUUAAGUAUUUAAUCAUUUUUUAAAAAUCUGUGAUGCUUUACCUGGGCAUGUCUAGGCAGGUCCUCCUUUGCUAGGACGUGCCCUUUUCUGUCCCGGAAUACUCUAAACUUGGCAUUUUGGCAGCGUGAAGUUUUCCCGUUGUGACUUUCUCCUUGUUCCCUUUUCUCCUCCUUCUUUGCAGACAAUGAGUAGCCACUGCUGUUUGCCCUGGCCCAUCAAUGAGAAGAUCUGCUCUUAGAGCCCUGCUUUCCUGCUGAAGGCCCUGAAAUCACCUGUGUUCCAGGCCACCUGCUAACAAUAAAUAAUGCUGCCCUGAUGUGGGGAAUUAGCUCAAGUGGUAGAGCGCUUGCUUAGCACGCAAGAGGUAGUGGGAUCGAUGCCCACAUUCUCCAAGCUUUAUUAUUUAGACAUCGUGUCUCCAAACACUCAGGUCUCCAAACCCAAGUUAGUGUCUGAGAACAGGAUGCUGCUUUGGUUCAAGACGUAGGAGCAGCAAUAAUAGAGGGCUGGUGAUGGCUCCCUCUUGGCAUUCAGUAUAGUGUAGAUCUACCAUGUAAUUAAUUCUCUGUUUCUUUGAGGAGCUGUGAAACCAAGGGACAUAUACAACUGCUCUUUUCUCCCUGUUUCUACCUGCAGCUUUGUCCUAAAUGUGAGACAAUUAUGAAAAGUGCAGCGCAGAGCCACUUGGGUAAAUACAGCCCCGGCUUUCUGCUCAGGGGACAGAGUUUGAGGCACUGCAGAGGAACCGGCCAAAGUAUGAGACCCAUAUAUUGAGAGUAACAGAGUGUAAAGUUCAAAAAAAUCAAAAUAUUUAAAGAUUUAUCAUGGGUCUUGAUGACAUGAUGGAAUCUCUCUACUCUCUGGACUUAUUAUGUGUGGUAAUAAAUUUACUUUUUAAAAGCCA
This 11185-nucleotide long non-coding RNA is filed under the name Homo sapiens (human). Its description in RNAcentral is "HSALNT0333351". The stretch from base 10601 to 10673 matches the Rfam family "tRNA". Lineage: Eukaryota; Metazoa; Chordata; Mammalia; Primates; Hominidae. The record is from RNAcentral.